This 253-nucleotide ribosomal RNA is filed under the name uncultured bacterium. RNAcentral's name for it is "partial 16S ribosomal RNA". It matches the Rfam family "Bacterial small subunit ribosomal RNA", at positions 524 to 776 of the family's 1533-position model. The record is from RNAcentral.
UACGUAGGUGGCUAGCGUUACUCGGAAUCACUGGGCAUAAAGGGCGUGUAGGCGGACAUAUAAGUCGGGUGUAAAAUCCCUCGGCUCAACCGAGGAAGGCCAUCCGAUACUGUAUGUCUUGAGUGCGGGAGGGGAGAAUGGAACUCUUGGUGGAGCGGUGAAAUGCGUAGAUAUCAAGAGGAACGCCGGUGGCGAAAGCGGUUCUCUGGCCCGCAACUGACGCUGAGGCGCGAAAGCUAGGGGAGCAAACGGG